RNAcentral lists this ribosomal RNA (273 nucleotides) under Triticum aestivum (bread wheat). RNAcentral's name for it is "partial small subunit ribosomal RNA". The record is from RNAcentral. Lineage: Eukaryota; Viridiplantae; Streptophyta; Magnoliopsida; Poales; Poaceae.
UCUGUCCUUGAUGCUUUCGGGGAGGUCACGGGCCUGGUCACUGAUUGCAAUAAGAGUCUUGUAGCCCCCAUCCGCUGCACCGGCCUUGACCUACAGGACAUCUUACAACACUUUCCGGCAAAGCUCACCCCUUUCCCCAUGACAUACCUUGGGCUGCCCCUCUCGGUGUCAAGACUCAAAGCAAUACACUUCUUGCCCCUUGAAGAUAAAGUUGCAUGCAAUAUUGCUCCUUGGACUGGGCAACUCAUGGCUGCCCCUGGUAGGGUCGUCCUG